GAUGAACGCUGGCGGCGUGCCUAAUACAUGCAAGUCGAGCGAACAGAUGAGGAGCUUGCUCCUCUGACGUUAGCGGCGGACGGGUGAGUAACACGUGGAUAACCUACCUAUAAGACUGGGAUAACUUCGGGAAACCGGAGCUAAUACCGGAUAAUAUAUUGAACCGCAUGGUUCAAUAGUGAAAGACGGUUUUGCUGUCACUUAUAGAUGGAUCCGCGCCGCAUUAGCUAGUUGGUAAGGUAACGGCUUACCAAGGCAACGAUGCGUAGCCGACCUGAGAGGGGGAUCGGCCACACUGGAACUGAGACACGGUCCAGACUCCUACGGGAGGCAGCAGUAGGGAAUCUUCCGCAAUGGGCGAAAGCAUGACGGAGCAACGCGGCGUGAGUGAUGAAGGUCUUCGGAUCGUAAAACUCUGUUAUUAGGGAAGAACAAAUGUGUAAGUAACUAUGCACGUCUUGACGGUACCUAAUCAGAAAGCCACGGCUAACUACGUG
This 497-nucleotide ribosomal RNA is filed under the name uncultured bacterium. RNAcentral describes it as "partial 16S ribosomal RNA". It matches the Rfam family "Bacterial small subunit ribosomal RNA", at positions 28 to 507 of the family's 1533-position model. The record is from RNAcentral.